RNAcentral lists this ribosomal RNA (369 nucleotides) under uncultured bacterium. RNAcentral describes it as "bacterial SSU rRNA". It matches the Rfam family "Bacterial small subunit ribosomal RNA", at positions 29 to 419 of the family's 1533-position model. The record is from RNAcentral.
AACGAACGCUGGCGGCAUGCCUAACACAUGCAAGUCGAACGGGAUCCUAGCUUGCUAGGUGAGAGUGGCGGACGGGUGAGUAACACGUGGGAAUCUGCCUUUUGGUCGGAUAACCGCGGAAACUGCGGCUAAUACCGAAUGCCCUCGAGAGAGGAAAGAUUUAUCGCCAGAAGAGGAGCCCGCGUCCGAUUAGGUAGUUGGUGGGGUAAAAGGCCUACCAAGCCGACGAUCGGUAGCUGGUCUGAGAGGAUGAUCAGCCACACUGGGACUGAGAUACGGCCCAGACUCCUACGGGAGGCAGCAGUGGGGAAUAUUGGACAAUGGGGGCAACCCUGAUCCAGCAAUGCCGCGUGAGUGAUGAAGGCCUUA